GUCUGGGAUACCACUUGGAAACAGGUGCUAAUACCGGAUAACAACAAUAGCUGCAUGGCUAUUGCUUAAAAGGCGGCGAAAGCUGUCGCUAAAGGAUGGACCCGCGGUGCAUUAGCUAGUUGGUAAGGUAAUGGCUUACCAAGGCGACGAUGCAUAGCCGAGUUGAGAGACUGAUCGGCCACAUUGGGACUGAGACACGGCCCAAACUCCUACGGGAGGCAGCAGUAGGGAAUCUUCCACAAUGGGCGAAAGCCUGAUGGAGCAACGCCGCGUGAGUGAAAAAGGUUUUCGGAUCGUAAAGCUCUGUUGUUGGUGAAGAAGGAUAGAGGUAGUAACUGGCCCCUAUUUGACGGUAAUCAACCAGAAAGUCACGGCUAACUACGUGCCAGCAGCCGCGGUAAUACGUAGGUGGCAAGCGUUGUCCGGAUUUAUUGGGCGUAAAGCGAGCGCAGGCGGAAAGAUAAGUCUGAUGUGAAAGCCCCCGGCUUAACCGAGGAAUUGCAUCGGAAACUGUGUUUCUUGAGUGCAGAAGAGGGGAGUGGAACUCCAUGUGUAGCGGUGGAAUGCGUAGAUAUAUGGAAGAACACCAGUGGCGAAGGCGGCUCUCUGGUCUGUAACUGACGCUGAGGCUCGAAAGCAUGGGUAGCGAACAGGAUUAGAUACCCUGGUAGUCCAUGCCGUAAACGAUGAGUACUAAGUGUUGGGAGGUUUCCGCCUCUCAGUGCUGCAG
Molecule: ribosomal RNA, 730 nt
Filed under: uncultured bacterium
Lineage: Bacteria
Description: bacterial SSU rRNA
Rfam family: Bacterial small subunit ribosomal RNA
Source: RNAcentral